UACAGAGGGUGCGAGCGUUGUCCGGAAUCACUGGGCGUAAAGGGCGCGUAGGCGGCGCGGUAAGCGUGCGGUGAAAGCCCGGGGCUCAACCCCGGGUCGGCCGUGCGGACUGCCGGGCUGGAGCACUGUAGAGGCAGGUGGAAUUCCGGGUGUAGCGGUGAAAUGCGUAGAUAUCUGGAGGAACACCGGUGGCGAAGGCGGCAUCCUGGACCGACACUGACACUGAGGAGCGAAAGCCAGGGGAGCAAACGGG
This 253-nucleotide ribosomal RNA is filed under the name uncultured bacterium. RNAcentral describes it as "partial 16S ribosomal RNA". It matches the Rfam family "Bacterial small subunit ribosomal RNA", at positions 524 to 776 of the family's 1533-position model. The record is from RNAcentral.